UGGCGGCAGGCCUAACACAUGCAAGUCGAGCGGAAACGAGUUAUCUGAACCUUCGGGGAACGAUAACGGCGUCGAGCGGCGGACGGGUGAGUAAUGCCUAGGAAAUUGCCCUGAUGUGGGGGAUAACCAUUGGAAACGAUGGCUAAUACCGCAUGAUGCCUACGGGCCAAAGAGGGGGACCUUCGGGCCUCUCGCGUCAGGAUAUGCCUAGGUGGGAUUAGCUAGUUGGUGAGGUAAGGGCUCACCAAGGCGACGAUCCCUAGCUGGUCUGAGAGGAUGAUCAGCCACACUGGAACUGAGACACGGUCCAGACUCCUACGGGAGGCAGCAGUGGGGAAUAUUGCACAAUGGGCGCAAGCCUGAUGCAGCCAUGCCGCGUGUGUGAAGAAGGCCUUCGGGUUGUAAAGCACUUUCAGUCGUGAGGAAGGUAGUGUAGUUAAUAGCUGCAUUAUUUGACGUUAGCGACAGAAGAAGCACCGGCUAACU
This 486-nucleotide ribosomal RNA is filed under the name marine sediment bacterium ISA-6348. Its description in RNAcentral is "bacterial SSU rRNA". It matches the Rfam family "Bacterial small subunit ribosomal RNA", at positions 37 to 502 of the family's 1533-position model. The record is from RNAcentral.